This 253-nucleotide ribosomal RNA is filed under the name uncultured bacterium. RNAcentral's name for it is "partial 16S ribosomal RNA". It matches the Rfam family "Bacterial small subunit ribosomal RNA", at positions 524 to 776 of the family's 1533-position model. The record is from RNAcentral.
UACGAAGGGGCCUAGCGUUGCUCGGAAUCACUGGGCGUAAAGAGCACGUAGGCGGAUUGUUAAGUCAGGGGUGAAAUCCUGGAGCUCAACUCCAGAACUGCCUUUGAUACUGGCGAUCUUGAGUCCGGGAGAGGUGAGUGGAACUGCGAGUGUAGAGGUGAAAUUCGUAGAUAUUCGCAAGAACACCAGUGGCGAAGGCGGCUCACUGGCCCGGUACUGACGCUGAGGUGCGAAAGCGUGGGGAGCAAACAGG